AAAACAAGACGGCUGCAAUGGCGCGAUUUUGGAUGGGGUCUUACCUACGAACACUGAAAAUUGCAAGGCUUGUCCAUUGCACUCCGGCCAUGCUGAUCCCUGCGAAUUCCCCAAAUGCGGGAAUCUCGACUGCAUAAUUUAUGGUAGUGGGGGACUGCGUUCACGCUCUCCCCUG
RNAcentral lists this small nuclear RNA (175 nucleotides) under Carassius auratus (goldfish). Its description in RNAcentral is "U1 spliceosomal RNA (ENSCARG00000026051.1)". It matches the Rfam family "U1 spliceosomal RNA". Rfam says of the family: U1 is a small nuclear RNA (snRNA) component of the spliceosome (involved in pre-mRNA splicing). Its 5' end forms complementary base pairs with the 5' splice junction, thus defining the 5' donor site of an intron. There are significant differences in sequence and secondary structure between metazoan and yeast U1 snRNAs, the latter being much longer (568 nucleotides as compared to 164 nucleotides in human). Lineage: Eukaryota; Metazoa; Chordata; Actinopteri; Cypriniformes; Cyprinidae. The record is from RNAcentral.